UACCAGCUCCCCGAGUGGUGGSGGUAAUUAUUGGGCCUAAAGCGUCCGUAGCUGGCUUAGCAAGUCUUUUGUUAAAUCCAACGAUCCAAUCGUUGGACUGCAGGAGAUACUGCUGGGCUAGGGGGCGGAAGAAGCCGACGGUACUCCUGAGGUAGGGGUGAAAUCCUAUAAUCCCAGGAGGACCACCAGUGGCGAAGGCGGUCGGCUAGAACGCGCUCGACGGUGAGGGACGAAAGCUGGGGGAGCGAUCCGGAUUAGAUACCCGGGUAGUCCCAGCUGUAAACUAUGCAGGCUAGGUGUUGGCGUGACCACGAGUCACGCCAGUGCCGCAGGGAAGCUGUUAAGCCUGCCGCCUGGGGAGUACGGUCGCAAGACUGAAACUUAA
This 385-nucleotide ribosomal RNA is filed under the name uncultured crenarchaeote. RNAcentral describes it as "bacterial SSU rRNA". It matches the Rfam family "Archaeal small subunit ribosomal RNA", at positions 474 to 859 of the family's 1478-position model. Lineage: Archaea; Thermoproteati; Thermoproteota. The record is from RNAcentral.